AGAGUUUGAUCAUGGCUCAGAUUGAACGCUGGCGGCAGGCCUAACACAUGCAAGUCGAACGGUAACAGGAAGCAGCUUGCUGCUUUGCUGACGAGUGGCGGACGGGUGAGUAAUGUCUGGGAAACUGCCUGAUGGAGGGGGAUAACUACUGGAAACGGUGGCUAAUACCGCAUAACGUCGCAAGACCAAAGAGGGGGACCUUCGGGCCUCUUGCCAUCAGAUGUGCCCAGAUGGGAUUAGCUAGUUGGUGAGGUAACGGCUCACCAAGGCGACGAUCCCUAGCUGGUCUGAGAGGAUGACCAGCCACACUGGAACUGAGACACGGUCCAGACUCCUACGGGAGGCAGCAGUGGGGAAUAUUGCACAAUGGGCGCAAGCCUGAUGCAGCCAUGCCGCGUGUAUGAAGAAGGCCUUCGGGUUGUAAAGUACUUUCAGCGGGGAGGAAGGUGUUGUGGUUAAUAACCACAGCAAUUGACGUUACCCGCAGAAGAAGCACCGGCUAACUCCGUGCCAGCAGCCGCGGUAAUACGGAGGGUGCAAGCGUUAAUCGGAAUUACUGGGCGUAAAGCGCACGCAGGCGGUCUGUCAAGUCGGAUGUGAAAUCCCCGGGCUCAACCUGGGAACUGCAUUCGAAACUGGCAGGCUUGAGUCUUGUAGAGGGGGGUAGAAUUCCAGGUGUAGCGGUGAAAUGCGUAGAGAUCUGGAGGAAUACCGGUGGCGAAGGCGGCCCCCUGGACAAAGACUGACGCUCAGGUGCGAAAGCGUGGGGAGCAAACAGGAUUAGAUACCCUGGUAGUCCACGCCGUAAACGAUGUCUACUUGGAGGUUGUGCCCUUGAGGCGUGGCUUCCGGAGCUAACGCGUUAAGUAGACCGCCUGGGGAGUACGGCCGCAAGGUUAAAACUCAAAUGAAUUGACGGGGGCCCGCACAAGCGGUGGAGCAUGUGGUUUAAUUCGAUGCAACGCGAAGAACCUUACCUGGUCUUGACAUCCACGGAAGUUUUCAGAGAUGAGAAUGUGCCUUCGGGAACCGUGAGACAGGUGCUGCAUGGCUGUCGUCAGCUCGUGUUGUGAAAUGUUGGGUUAAGUCCCGCAACGAGCGCAACCCUUAUCCUUUGUUGCCAGCGGUUAGGCCGGGAACUCAAAGGAGACUGCCAGUGAUAAACUGGGAGGAAGGUGGGGAUGACGUCAAGUCAUCAUGGCCCUUACGACCAGGGCUACACACGUGCUACAAUGGCGCAUACAAAGAGAAGCGACCUCGCGAGAGCAAGCGGACCUCAUAAAGUGCGUCGUAGUCCGGAUUGGAGUCUGCAACUCGACUCCAUGAAGUCGGAAUCGCUAGUAAUCGUGGAUCAGAAUGCCACGGUGAAUACGUUCCCGGGCCUUGUACACACCGCCCGUCACACCAUGGGAGUGGGUUGCAAAAGAAGUAGGUAGCUUAACCUUCGGGAGGGCGCUUACCACUUUGUGAUUCAUGACUGGGGUGAAGUCGUAACAAGGUAACCGUAGGGGAACCUGCGGUUGGAUCACCU
This 1531-nucleotide ribosomal RNA is filed under the name Salmonella enterica subsp. enterica serovar Daytona. RNAcentral describes it as "bacterial SSU rRNA". It matches the Rfam family "Bacterial small subunit ribosomal RNA". The record is from RNAcentral. Lineage: Bacteria; Pseudomonadati; Pseudomonadota; Gammaproteobacteria; Enterobacterales; Enterobacteriaceae.